RNAcentral lists this ribosomal RNA (362 nucleotides) under uncultured bacterium. Its description in RNAcentral is "bacterial SSU rRNA". It matches the Rfam family "Bacterial small subunit ribosomal RNA", at positions 29 to 396 of the family's 1533-position model. The record is from RNAcentral.
AUUGAACGCUGGCGGCAUGCCUUACACAUGCAAGUCGAGCGCGAAAGGGGGCAACCCCGAGUAGAGCGGCGGACGGGUGAGUAACACAUCGGAACGUGCCCAGUAGUGGGGGACAACCUCGAGAAAUCGAGGCUAAUACCGCAUACGACCCACGGGUGAAAGCGGGGACCGCAAGGCCUCGCGCUAUUGGAGCGGCCGAUGUCCGAUUAGCUAGUUGGCGGGGUAAGAGCCCACCAAGGCGACGAUCGGUAGCUGGUCUGAGAGGACGACCAGCCACACUGGGACUGAGACACGGCUCAGACUCCUACGGGAGGCAGCAGUGGGGAAUUUUGGACAAUGGGGGCAACCCUGAUCCAGCCAUG